This 87-nucleotide unclassified non-coding RNA is filed under the name Pseudomonas synxantha. The record is from RNAcentral. Lineage: Bacteria; Pseudomonadati; Pseudomonadota; Gammaproteobacteria; Pseudomonadales; Pseudomonadaceae.
AUGUGGGGGGGCUUGCUCCCGAUGACUGAGUGUCAGUGAGUUAUUUAUCAACUGACCCACCGCUAUCGGGAGCAAGCCCCCUCCCAC